AGUGAACGCUGGCGGUAGGCCUAACACAUGCAAGUCGAACGGCAGCACAGUAAGAGCUUGCUCUUACGGGUGGCGAGUGGCGGACGGGUGAGGAAUACAUCGGAAUCUACUUUUUCGUGGGGGAUAACGUAGGGAAACUUACGCUAAUACCGCAUACGACCUACGGGUGAAAGCAGGGGAUCUUCGGACCUUGCGCGAUUGAAUGAGCCGAUGUCGGAUUAGCUAGUUGGCGGGGUAAAGGCCCACCAAGGCGACGAUCCGUAGCUGGUCUGAGAGGAUGAUAAGCCACACUGGAACUGAGACACGGUCCAGACUACUACGGGAGGCAGCAGUGGGGAAUAUUGGACAAUGGGCGCAAGCAUGAUCCAGCCAUACCGCGUGGGUGAAGAAGGCCUUCGGGUUGUAAAGCCCUUUUGUUGGGAAAGAAAAGCAGCAGGUUAAUACCCCGCUGUUCUGACGGUACCCAAAGAAUAAGCACCGGCUAACUUCGUG
RNAcentral lists this ribosomal RNA (492 nucleotides) under uncultured bacterium. RNAcentral's name for it is "partial 16S ribosomal RNA". It matches the Rfam family "Bacterial small subunit ribosomal RNA", at positions 29 to 507 of the family's 1533-position model. The record is from RNAcentral.